ACUCGACUCCUUGAAUCAGCAGCAGCAGCAGCAGCAGCGGCACGCAGGCUCAAUAUCUAACAACCAAACACAGGCAGCAACAAUUGGAGAGGAGAGAACCAACCCUGGGACACGCGCCACCUAUCGUCACCGGAGGGGAUAAUUGAGAAGGACCAAACGUGAGCAUCUUUUGCUAAACGUAAUACGUUUUUUCUCUCUCUCUCUCUCUCUCUCCCAGGCUGUUUGAUCCGAGUGAAAUGAACUGUGACUGUCGGACUAUGACUACCAUGUAUAGCAGCCGAAGAAGAAAGAAUAUUAUCCAGAAGAAGAAAAGUUGGAACACUCUUAUUCAACCGACAUGACCACAACUGGAAGGGGGAAAACGGACCAAAAUGAUGGCGUUGGAAGUUUGUCUGACUCUCCAACACAGUCUCACACAUACCAGGGAUGAAAAUAUAAGGUUUGCGGAGUGUUAAGGAAGUGAGCAUCAGCGGUUUGGGUUUGUUCAUGUUUUAUAUUUGUAAACGUGUAUUUAUUUGCCUCUAUGGACGUGCGUUUAUGUUGUACUAUCGCAAUAACCACUAUGAGUGGAGCAUGUACAACGGCGCAUGGCCCCGUGCACCUACAAGAGCGAAAUAGAUGUGUAUAUUGAGGUGCUUCUCGCACGUGCCAGGUGCAGUCAGGUGCGUACAGGUACUUUCGUUGAAGUUUUCCCGGUGUGUUUUAAACAAAGUCCAUGUUAAACUCAUCUCUCUGACCAGGUUUGAAAGACGUCAAGUGUAUACUUCAUUCAUUUUUUUUCACAGGUGUUAUUCAAGGUUAUAUCGAAGAAACAUAUUUCACUCUAUUGCAACUAUACGACAUGGCUAUUACUCCAAUUCAUCUUUCUCUAUUUGAUUAAUUAAUUAAUUUCCUGGUGAUGCUGCUGCUUCAAUGUAUGUCUCUCUCUCUCUCUCUCGCUGUAAAUGGAGAGGAAGGCUCCACCUUUGCAACGCUGUGAUUGGUUAUGUAAAUAAAGUAUUAUAUUUGCUGUCCUGUCCUAUGCAGUUAUCAACUGUAUGGAUAAUUAAAUCAUCAAUCAAGA
Long non-coding RNA from Oncorhynchus nerka (sockeye salmon), 1063 nucleotides. RefSeq lists it as uncharacterized. Lineage: Eukaryota; Metazoa; Chordata; Actinopteri; Salmoniformes; Salmonidae. The record is from RefSeq and is a predicted model, not a curated record. The transcript is spliced from 2 exons.